RNAcentral lists this ribosomal RNA (490 nucleotides) under uncultured Actinomycetes bacterium. RNAcentral describes it as "bacterial SSU rRNA". It matches the Rfam family "Bacterial small subunit ribosomal RNA", at positions 355 to 859 of the family's 1533-position model. Lineage: Bacteria; Bacillati; Actinomycetota; Actinomycetes. The record is from RNAcentral.
UGGGGAAUCUUGCGCAAUGGGCGAAAGCCUGACGCAGCGAUGCCGCGUGCGGGAUGAAGGCCUUCGGGUUGUAAACCGCUUUCAGCAGGGACGAAAUUGACGGUACCUGCAGAAGAAGCCCCGGCCAACUACGUGCCAGCAGCCGCGGUAAUACGUAGGGGGCGAGCGUUGUCCGGAUUUAUUGGGCGUAAAGAGCUCGUAGGCGGUUCGAUAAGUCGGAUGUGAAAUCUCCACGCUCAACGUGGAGAGGCCAUUCGAUACUGUCGUGACUCGAGUCCGGUAGGGGAGUGUGGAAUUCCCGGUGUAGCGGUGAAAUGCGCAGAGAUCGGGAGGAACACCCGUAGCGAAGGCGGCACUCUGGGCCGGAACUGACGCUGAGGAGCGAAAGCGUGGGGAGCAAACAGGAUUAGAUACCCUGGUAGUCCACGCCGUAAACGUUGGGCACUAGGUGUGGGACUCUAUCGACGGGUUCCGUGCCGUAGCUAACGCA